GGUACCAUAGCCAAGCGGUAAGGCGUGGGACUGCAACUCCCUGAUCCCCAGUUCGAUUCUGGGUGGUACCUCCA
RNAcentral lists this transfer RNA (74 nucleotides) under Agathobaculum desmolans. Its description in RNAcentral is "tRNA-Cys". It matches the Rfam family "tRNA". From Rfam's summary of the family: Transfer RNA (tRNA) molecules are approximately 80 nucleotides in length. The record is from RNAcentral. RNAcentral also lists the same sequence under 51 other names. Lineage: Bacteria; Bacillati; Bacillota; Clostridia; Eubacteriales; Butyricicoccaceae.